GAGCACACCAACGCUCGCUAAUCAGGGAUCCUAAGAAGGGGGACUAUCAGCUUGCCUACCUGCACCUGCGGGCAUGGAACGCAGGCCCCGUGAAAUAGGGCGUCAGUACGAAAAAUAUACUGAGUAUGUAAGGCAUGAAAAUUAGUACGUAAAAGACAUAGAUGAAACAUAGAAUGCAGAAAUACCUUUAAAUCUGAAUAACUUUGUAAAUUCUGAAACGUUUAUUAUGUCAUGCACGUGCGUAUAAAUGUCGUGUCAUGCAUAGGUAUGGGUAUACAUAAUAUCAUCAAGCCAAUGGGGGAAUCCCAUCAUAUCGUCUCGGCCACUAUGGACACAUCAUCAACAUAUACCAGUUCAUCAGGUGGUGGUGUGUAUAUAACGCCGUAAUCUUUUCCCAUAUCCCAUAUACAUAUAUUUACAUAUAUACACGUAUAUAAUGCCAUCUGGUAAUAGGUCAAUGGACAUGUAUGAAAUGUAUGAAAAAUACGUAAUAAUCUCAAUAUUCCUUCCGGAUAAAUUUUUCCAACUGUGUAUUAUUCUGAGACCCAUGAACAGAAAAUAAUAAUAAUUUUCAUGGGGGGUCAAGAAUAUAGACACCCCUAAUAAUUCUAUGAAUAGAGUAAUUUAUGAAAACUGUGUGGUUUCUCGUUUCUUCAAUAUAAUUUGGAACAUACCAAGAGAAAGAAGGGAUGUCCUAAACAUACCUGGAGUAGGAACAACUCCGUAUAAUCAUCUCGUUGGAAACCUUUGUGGAUUGAACUUUGAACGCAAAAAUCAGAUUUAAGCUUCUGCUUCUUAAAUUGGAACGAAACUUUGCUAUGUUGGAUGAAAUGAUACUGCUCUCAAACGGGUUGGAUUGGAAUGGAAAUUUCGGACGAAAAUGACUCUGCUUCUAAUCGUCUUUGGUUUGAAAACCAAAGACAGAAUGUAUAGUCAUUUGCUAAGACUUAAAUUCA
RNAcentral lists this long non-coding RNA (956 nucleotides) under Nicotiana tabacum (common tobacco). RNAcentral's name for it is "long non-coding RNA (NTAB_LNC016819)". Lineage: Eukaryota; Viridiplantae; Streptophyta; Magnoliopsida; Solanales; Solanaceae. The record is from RNAcentral.